GGAGAGGUCGCAUAGUGGCCUAGUGCGCACGCUUGGAAAGCGUGUAACGUCGCAAGGCGUUCGAGGGUUCGAAUCCCUCCCUCUCCGCCA
RNAcentral lists this transfer RNA (90 nucleotides) under Candidatus Altimarinota bacterium. RNAcentral describes it as "tRNA-Ser". It matches the Rfam family "tRNA". From Rfam's summary of the family: Transfer RNA (tRNA) molecules are approximately 80 nucleotides in length. RNAcentral also lists the same sequence under 1 other name. The record is from RNAcentral. Lineage: Bacteria; Candidatus Altimarinota.